GGCGGCGUGCUUAACACAUGCAAGUCGAGCGGAAAGGCCCUUCGGGGUACUCGAGCGGCGAACGGGUGAGUAACACGUGAGCAACCUGCCUUCAGCUCUGGGAUAAGCCUGGGAAACUGGGUCUAAUACCGGAUAUGACCUCUGCCUGCAUGGGUGGUGGUGGAAAGAUUUAUCGGCUGUAGAUGGGCUCGCGGCCUAUCAGCUUGUUGGUGGGGUGAUGGCCUACCAAGGCUUUUACGGGUAGCCGGCCUGAGAGGGCGACCGGCCACACUGGGACUGAGACACGGCCCAGACUCCUACGGGAGGCAGCAGUGGGGAAUAUUGCACAAUGGGCGGAAGCCUGAUGCAGCAACGCCGCGUGAGGGAUGACGGCCUUCGGGUUGUAAACCUCUUUCAGCGGGGACGAAGCGUGAGUGACGGUACCCGCAGAAGAAGCGCCGGCCAACUACGUGCCAGCAGCCGCGGUAACACGUAGGGCGCGAGCGUUGUCCGGAAUUAUUGGGCGUAAAGGGCUCGUAGGCGGUUUGUUGCGUCGAAAGUGAAAAUCCGGGGCUUAACUCCGGACUUGCUUUCGAUACGGGCAGACUAGAGGUAGGCAGGGGAGAGUGGAAUUCCUGGUGUAGCGGUGGAAUGCGCAGAUAUCAGGAGGAACACCGGUGGCGAAGGCGGCUCUCUGGGCCUUACCUGACGCUGAGGAGCGAAAGCGUGGGGAGCGAACAGGAUUAGAUACCCUGGUAGUCCACGCCGUAAACGUUGGGCGCUAGGUGUGGGGGACUUCCACGUUCUCCGUGCCGCAGCUAACGCAUUAAGCGCCCCGCCUGGGGAGUACGGCCGC
This 835-nucleotide ribosomal RNA is filed under the name Nocardioidaceae str. IM-7744. RNAcentral describes it as "bacterial SSU rRNA". It matches the Rfam family "Bacterial small subunit ribosomal RNA", at positions 38 to 889 of the family's 1533-position model. The record is from RNAcentral. Lineage: Bacteria; Bacillati; Actinomycetota; Actinomycetes; Propionibacteriales; Nocardioidaceae.